UUACAGGGAAGGUGAAAUUGCCUGAAAAUGCAAAAUGGUGAUGCCUGGAGACAAUGUGACUGCAGUUUUUGAGCUUGUUUCAGCUAUGCCUCGUGAAACAGGAUUGUUUGACUCCUUAGUACACAAGCCUACUAUUGGGGAUAAAUGAGUAUCCUGGAUUGGUUUGUGUUGUUCAGUAUUUGUUGGUAUUUUUCUAGCCUAAUUCGUUGGUGUGUGUUCUGAUCAAUUUCUUUUUGACAAGACGAAGAUUUGCUUUGAGAGAGGAGGUAAAAUGGUUGGCGCGGGAGCUGUCUCAAAAGUGCUUGGCUAUGAUAUGGCUAAUAUCACUUAAAAUUUUGUAUCUACUCAUUUCGGAAAAGAUGUUAACAGCUAUCAGGAGGGAGAAGUACAAUUUAUGGUGAUUAGGGACAUUUAGUGCACUUAGGAGUUGAUGAUUGCUUAGCCCAACGUUAGAGACAUGAAUAAGUUGAAUGUUGAUUUAUUUGAAUGGCGUGUAGAGAUCUGUUAAUUUCCAUAUUUCUGUUUAUGAAAAUUUGGUAAAGAUAGUUUUCCGAACUUCACAAAUUUUUCUAUCUUCAUUUAGUAUGGAUCAAGGUCCAUGAUAUAAGCAGUGAAAAAAUAUCAAUGGUGUCUUUAUGGUUGUGCUUAAUGAUAUAUAACUACUGAUUCUUGUUGAAAUUAUGACCUUCAGCCUUCAGGUCUAUUAUGAAUGGACCUGUUCCUUGAUUAUUUUGUUUUCUUAUCUUGCUCUAUGUAGCAUCAAAUUCUAUGACUUCAGGGUGAACGGAUAAUGUCAUCAUGCACAAGGAUUCAGGCCUAUCUGAAGGCAUCCCCUCAUUGAAGAAAAUAUUGAACAGCUCUUUGAAAACUCCACCAGUGCCCCCAAUCCUCUCUGUUGCAUCCGCAUCAAUUGCCAGACUGAAAUUUCAUGCCUGAGCUGUUUACCUGUGUUCCCGGUCGCGCUAGCCAGCAUCUUCAGCACUUGCAGUGACUGUUUCACCGUCUUGAUUUUGGACGGCAUAACAUUUUCAUCCUUCAGUAACCUCUCCCCCGUGUGAGUGAA
Molecule: long non-coding RNA, 1063 nt
Organism: Rhododendron vialii
Lineage: Eukaryota; Viridiplantae; Streptophyta; Magnoliopsida; Ericales; Ericaceae
Exons: 3
Source: RefSeq, a predicted model, not a curated record